Molecule: long non-coding RNA, 1086 nt
Filed under: Cyanistes caeruleus (blue tit)
Lineage: Eukaryota; Metazoa; Chordata; Aves; Passeriformes; Paridae
Description: lncRNA (ENSCCEG00000001399.1)
Source: RNAcentral
UUUCAAUCCCAGAUCCAAAAAUUUGGAUUUUUUUUGGUUUUAAUCCAAAUUUUCCAUUUUCCAACCCCAAAUUUUCAAUCCCAAAUCCCCAAAUUCCCAUUUUUUUUGGUUUCUGUCCCGAUUUUCCCAUUCCCAGAUCCCAAAAUUCCCAUUUUUUUGGGUUUCUGUCCCGAUUUUCCGCCCCCCGGGGGGGUCACCGGGGUCAUCCAAACAUUCCCGGACUUUGGAAUUCCGGGAAGUUCCGGGAAUUCGGGAAUUCCGGGAGCCCAAAUUCCUCCAGGUGACUCCGAGGGGGGGGAAAUUCCCAAUUUUGGGGACAUUUGGGGACAUUUGGGGACAUUUGGGGACAUUUUGGGGACAUUUGGGGACAUCCGGGGACAAUUUGGGGACAUUUGGGGACAUUUUGGGGCCAUUUGGGAUCAUUUUGGGGACAUUUUGGGGAUAUUUUGGGGACAUUUUGGGGCCAUUUGGGAUCAUUUUGGGGACAUUUGGGGACAUUCUGGGGACAUUUUGGGGCCAUUUGGGAUCAUUUUGGGACAUUUUGGGGAUAUUUUGGGGACAUUUUGGGGACAGGGGACAAUUUGGGCACAUUUGAGAUCAUUUUGGGGCCAUUUGGGAUCAUUUCGGGGACAUUUGGGGACAUUUUGGGGACAUUUAGUGACGUUUUGGGGACAUUUUUGGACAUUUGUGACCAUUUUGUGGCCAUUUUGGGACAUUUUGGGACAUUUUGGGACAUUUGUGGCCAUUUGUGGCCAAUUCUGGGACAUUUCGUGGCAUUUUAGGCACAUUUUGGGACAUUUGGGGACAAUUUGGGUUCAUUUUUGGGGACAUUUGGGACAUUUAGAGCCAUUUUAGGGACAUUUUGGGGACACUUAGAGCCAUUUUGGGAGCAUUUGGGGAAAUUUGGGGUUGUUUGGGGUAAUUUCGGGCCAUUUUGGGACCAUUUUGGGACCAUUUCGGAACAUUUGGGGACAUUUUAGGACAUUUUGGGGCCAUUUUGGGGCCAUUUCUGGACAUUUCGGGUCCCAUUUCGGGCAAUUUCGGGCAAUUUCGGAACAUUUCGGAACAUUUCGCGUCGGUUCCCAC